Molecule: transfer RNA, 74 nt
Filed under: Camelus bactrianus (Bactrian camel)
Lineage: Eukaryota; Metazoa; Chordata; Mammalia; Artiodactyla; Camelidae
Also listed under: 2 other names
Rfam family: tRNA
About the family: Transfer RNA (tRNA) molecules are approximately 80 nucleotides in length. Their secondary structure includes four short double-helical elements and three loops (D, anti-codon, and T loops). Further hydrogen bonds mediate the characteristic L-shaped molecular structure. tRNAs have two regions of fundamental functional importance: the anti-codon, which is responsible for specific mRNA codon recognition, and the 3' end, to which the tRNAs corresponding amino acid is attached (by aminoacyl-tRNA synthetases). tRNAs cope with the degeneracy of the genetic code in two manners: having more than one tRNA (with a specific anti-codon) for a particular amino acid; and 'wobble' base-pairing, i.e. permitting non-standard base-pairing at the 3rd anti-codon position.
Source: Rfam by way of RNAcentral
GACGGUUUAGCUCAGGGUAGAGCAUGUGUUUAGCAUGCACGACGAGGUCCUGGGUUCAAUCCCCAGUACCUCCA